Molecule: ribosomal RNA, 425 nt
Filed under: uncultured bacterium
Lineage: Bacteria
Description: partial 16S ribosomal RNA
Rfam family: Bacterial small subunit ribosomal RNA
Source: RNAcentral
GUGGGGAAUAUUGGGCAAUGGACGAAACCCUGAUGCAGCGACGCCGCGUGGAGGAUGACGGCCUUCGGGUUGUAAACUCCUUUUGUCAGGGACAAUGGUGAUGGUACCUGACGAAUAAGCCACGGCUAACUCUGUGCCAGCAGCCGCGGUAAGACAGAGGUGGCGAGCGUUGUUCGGAAUUACUGGGCUUAAAGGGCGCGUAGGCGGUGGUGUAAGUCUGGGGUGGAAUGCUACAGCUCAACUGUAGAGCUGCCUUGGAAACUGCAUUACUUGAGUCAGUGAGGGGAAGGCGGAAUUCCUGGUGUAGCGGUGAAAUGCGUAGAUAUCAGGAGGAAGGUCUGUGGCGAAGGCGGCCUUCUGGCACUUGACUGACGCUGAGGCGCGAAAGCGUGGGGAGCAAACAGGAUUAGAUACCCCUGUAGUCC